Molecule: ribosomal RNA, 1752 nt
Filed under: Triticum aestivum (bread wheat)
Lineage: Eukaryota; Viridiplantae; Streptophyta; Magnoliopsida; Poales; Poaceae
Description: partial small subunit ribosomal RNA
Source: RNAcentral
GCCCGCCGCGGCCCCGACCCCUCCGACGACGACGACGACGCGGGGGGCGCCAGCACCGGGCGGCGCCGCCAGAAGCGGCUCAAGAACGUCCUCUCCGGCGCCGGCGAGGAGGAGGAGGGAGCUGCGGUGGAGGAGAAGAAGGAUGCGGCGAAAGCGACGGGGAAAGGGGCCGCUGCGUCGUCGGGUGGCGGGCCCACGGGGACGCCCCUCCCGGACAAAAAGUUGCUGCUCUUCAUCCUCGACAGGCUCCAGAAGAAGGACACCUAUGGAGUGUACUCGGAUCCCGUCGACCCGGAGGAGCUUCCGGAUUACCAUGAACUCAUCGAGCAUCCGAUGGACUUCUCAACGAUCCGCGAGAAACUUUUGAGCGACAAGUAUACCAUCCUAGAGCAGUUUGAGAAUGAUGUAUUUCUACUUACAUCCAAUGCCAUGUCCUACAAUUCAGAAGACACAGUAUACUAUCGCCAGGCACGGUCUAUUGAAGCUCUUGCCAGAAAGGAUUUUGAGAACUUGAGGCAAGCUAGUGAUAGUGAAGAAGAACAACCGAAGACAGCACCUAGAAGAGGCAGGCCACCAAAAAAUGCAAAGAAAACAGACGAUGGUUCACCAGAUUUAUCCAAUGUAAAAGGAAACAGAUCUGUAGACAACACUGAGACAAGAAAAAGAUGGACUAGUGAGAGAACUCGAAAUAAUAUUACCAUGAGAGAUUCAUCCAUUCUUCACCACAGCACGUUCGGUUCUUUUAGUGGUAAAAAAACAGAGAAAACUGGUGUUUACUCAGGGUCUUUGAAGUAUGGAAAGAAGACUACUAUUUUAGACGAUGAUCGGCGGAGUACAUAUGAUCAGCAAUACUCAAAUUAUAGUCCUCUUUUUUCUGCCCUUGAUUGUGAGCGGAAACAACUACUUCCAAUUGGGCUUCAGCAGCAACAUGCAUAUGCCAGGAGCUUGGCACGGUUUGCGGCAAAACUUGGACCAAUUGGAUGGGAUAUAGCAGCGAAAGGAAUCAGACGUGUAUUACCACCCGGGACAAAGUUUGGCCCAGGAUGGGUUGUAGAUGGCGAGCCACCUCAAAACUCGCAGUGUCCGCGAGUUCCUGAAGUUGCCAACCCGACCGCAAAGUCCAGUAUUCCAUCAUGCGGUAUACCACCCAAAAGCGAUGAUCUACGUCGGAGUUCUGAGCUAUCUUCAGAUGGGGAUGCUGCCGCAGGUGAAGAGUAUAUGACUAAAAACCAGCCAGUGGCGUCUACAUCAGCAGGCAUUGAAAGGAGCUCUACACCUGCCAGUAAAAUACCCACGUAUGAAAAUGGAGCUACCAUGACAGGUGAUGGUGUGGGUAAUACUCGACCAACGCCUCCGUUACAGCAGCAGAGUAACAGUCAAGAAGUCCCCUCUAAUAUCAAUGGAAUGACUGCUGCGCCGAACACCAUGGGUCAGUAUGCUGGACAAGGUUUAUUUGAGCAAAUGACGCAUGCCCAAGUGCUCGGGAUGUUUUCUGGAGUCAAUGGCAGAGCCAACGGGUUUCGUCAUGGGCACCAACUGACGGAGGAGAGUGUUAAAAUAGUGCAGAAUGGAGUGAUUGGAAAGGCAGCUACCACCACCAGCCCCUUGCAAGAAGCAGAUCAUGAUCCAAAGGGUUCAUAUCCACAAGACGAUAACAGGUCCGCUUCUCCAAGCUUCAAUGCUGCCGGUUCCCCGCCUAGGGGGAAAGCGGCAGCGAAUCCGAAGCAACCAGACUUGGUGUUACAGCUGUGA